AUUGAACGCUGGCGGCAGGCCUAACACAUGCAAGUCGAACGGUAACAGGAAGCAGCUUGCUGCUUCGCUGACGAGUGGCGGACGGGUGAGUAAUGUCUGGGAAACUGCCUGAUGGAGGGGGAUAACUACUGGAAACGGUAGCUAAUACCGCAUAACGUCGCAAGACCAAAGAGGGGGACCUUAGGGCCUCUUGCCAUCGGAUGUGCCCAGAUGGGAUUAGCUAGUAGGUGGGGUAACGGCUCACCUAGGCGACGAUCCCUAGCUGGUCUGAGAGGAUGGCCAGCCACACGGGAGCGGAGACAGCGACCAGACUCCUGCGGGACGCAGCAGUGGGGUAUAUGGGGCAAUGGUGGCGAGCCUGAUACAACCAUGCCGCGUGUAUGAAGAAGGCCUUCGGUUUGUGAAGUCCUUUCGGCGGGGGGGAAGGGAGUACAGUUAAUACCUUGGCUCAUUGACGUUACCCGCAGAAGAAGCGCCGGCUAACUCCGUG
This 490-nucleotide ribosomal RNA is filed under the name uncultured bacterium. Its description in RNAcentral is "partial 16S ribosomal RNA". It matches the Rfam family "Bacterial small subunit ribosomal RNA", at positions 30 to 507 of the family's 1533-position model. The record is from RNAcentral.